RNAcentral lists this ribosomal RNA (425 nucleotides) under uncultured Bifidobacterium sp. Its description in RNAcentral is "bacterial SSU rRNA". It matches the Rfam family "Bacterial small subunit ribosomal RNA", at positions 173 to 613 of the family's 1533-position model. The record is from RNAcentral. Lineage: Bacteria; Bacillati; Actinomycetota; Actinomycetes; Bifidobacteriales; Bifidobacteriaceae.
UUCCACAUGAUCGCAUGUGAUUGUGGGAAAGAUUCUAUCGGCGUGGGAUGGGGUCGCGUCCUAUCAGCUUGUUGGUGAGGUAACGGCUCACCAAGGCGUCGACGGGUAGCCGGCCUGAGAGGGCGACCGGCCACAUUGGGACUGAGAUACGGCCCAGACUCCUACGGGAGGCAGCAGUGGGGAAUAUUGCACAAUGGGCGCAAGCCUGAUGCAGCGACGCCGCGUGAGGGAUGGAGGCCUUCGGGUUGUAAACCUCUUUUGUUUGGGAGCAAGCCUUCGGGUGAGUGUACCUUUCGAAUAAGCGCCGGCUAACUACGUGCCAGCAGCCGCGGUAAUACGUAGGGCGCAAGCGUUAUCCGGAUUUAUUGGGCGUAAAGGGCUCGUAGGCGGCUCGUCGCGUCCGGUGUGAAAGUCCAUCGCUUAAC